RNAcentral lists this ribosomal RNA (444 nucleotides) under uncultured bacterium. Its description in RNAcentral is "partial 16S ribosomal RNA". It matches the Rfam family "Bacterial small subunit ribosomal RNA", at positions 331 to 792 of the family's 1533-position model. The record is from RNAcentral.
CCAGACUCCUACGGGAGGCAGCAGUGGGGGAUAUUGCACAAUGGGGGGAACCCUGGUGCAGCGACGCCGCGUGAGCGAUGAAGUAUUUCGGUAUGUAAAGCUCUAUCAGCAGGGAAGAAAAUGACGGUACCUGACUAAGAAGCCCCGGCUAACUACGUGCCAGCAGCCGCGGUAAUACGUAGGGGGCAAGCGUUAUCCGGAUUUACUGGGUGUAAAGGGGGCGCAGACGGCAGCGCAAGCCAGGAGUGAAAGCCCGGGGCCCAACCCCGGGACUGCUCUUGGAACUGUGCGGCUAGAGUGCGGGAGGGGCAGGCGGAAUUCCUGGUGUAGCGGUGAAAUGCGUAGAUAUCAGGAGGAACACCGGUGGCGAAGGCGGCCUGCUGGACUGCGACUGACGUUGAGGCCCGAAAGCGUGGGGAGCAACCAGGAUUAGAUACCCGAGUA